This 663-nucleotide ribosomal RNA is filed under the name uncultured bacterium. Its description in RNAcentral is "bacterial SSU rRNA". It matches the Rfam family "Bacterial small subunit ribosomal RNA", at positions 139 to 813 of the family's 1533-position model. The record is from RNAcentral.
CGGGACAGCCUCGGGAAACCGUGGGUAAUACCGGAUACUCCGGGACGGCCGCAUGCCCGGCCCGGGAAAGCCCAGACGGGAGGGGAUGGGCCCGCGGCCUGUUAGCUAGUCGGCGGGGUAACGGCCCACCGAGGCGAUUAUGGGUAGCCGGGUUGAGAGACCGACCGGCCAGAUUGGGACUGAGACACGGCCCAGACUCCUACGGGAGGCAGCAGUGGGGAAUCUUGCGCAAUGGGCGGAAGCCUGACGCAGCGACGCCGCGUGCGGGACGAAGGCCUUCGGGUCGUAAACCGCUUUCAGCAGGGACGAGGCCCUCACGGUGACGGUACCUGCAGAAGAAGCCCCGGCUAACUACGUGCCAGCAGCCGCGGUAAUACGUAGGGGGCGAGCGUUAUCCGGAUUCAUUGGGCGUAAAGCGCGCGUAGGCGGCCUGUUAGGUCGGGGGUCAAAUACCGGGGCUCAACCCCGGUCCGCCCCCGAUACCGGCAGGCUUGAGUCUGGUAGGGGAAGGCGGAAUUCCCAGUGUUGCGGUGGAAUGCGCAGAUAUUGGGAAGAACACCGGCGGCGAAGGCGGCCUUCUGGGCCACGACUGACGCUGAGGCGCGAAAGCUAGGGGAGCGAACAGGAUUAGAUACCCUGGUAGUCCUAGCCGUAAACGAUGGA